Molecule: ribosomal RNA, 512 nt
Filed under: uncultured bacterium
Lineage: Bacteria
Description: bacterial SSU rRNA
Rfam family: Bacterial small subunit ribosomal RNA
Source: RNAcentral
GAGUUUGAUCCUGGCUCAGAUUGAACGCUGGCGGCAGGCCUAACACAUGCAAGUCGAGCGGUAGAGAGAAGCUUGCUUCUCUUGAGAGCGGCGGACGGGUGAGUAAUGCUUAGGAAUCUGCCUGGUAGUGGGGGAUAACGCUCGGAAACGGACGCUAAUACCGCAUACGUCCUACGGGAGAAAGCAGGGGACCUUCGGGCCUUGCGCUAUCAGAUGAGCCUAGGUCGGAUUAGCUAGUUGGUGAGGUAAUGGCUCACCAAGGCGACGAUCCGUAACUGGUCUGAGAGGAUGAUCAGUCACACUGGAACUGAGACACGGUCCAGACUCCUACGGGAGGCAGCAGUGGGGAAUAUUGGACAAUGGGCGAAAGCCUGAUCCAGCCAUGCCGCGUGUGUGAAGAAGGUCUUCGGAUUGUAAAGCACUUUAAGUUGGGAGGAAGGGCAGUAAAUUAAUACUUUAGCUGUUUUGACGUUACCGACAGAAUAAGCACCGGCUAACUCUGUGCCAGCACG